AUUGAACGCUGGCGGCAGGCCUAACACAUGCAAGUCGAGCGGAUGAAGGGAGCUUGCUCCUGGAUUCAGCGGCGGACGGGUGAGUAAUGCCUAGGAAUCUGCCUGGUAGUGGGGGAUAACGUCCGGAAACGGGCGCUAAUACCGCAUACGUCCUGAGGGAGAAAGUGGGGGAUCUUCGGACCUCACGCUAUCAGAUGAGCCUAGGUCGGAUUAGCUAGUUGGUGGGGUAAAGGCCUACCAAGGCGACGAUCCGUAACUGGUCUGAGAGGAGGAUCAGUCACACUGGAACUGAGACACGGUCAAGACUCCUACGGGAGGCAGCAGUGGGGAAUAUUGGACAAUGGGCGAAAGCCUGAUCCAGCCAUGCCGCGUGUGUGAAGAAGGUCUUCGGAUUGUAAAGCACUUUAAGCUGGGAGGAAGGGCAGUAAGUUAAUACCUUGCUGUUUUGACGUUACCAACAGAAUAAGCACCGGCUAACUUCGUG
This 484-nucleotide ribosomal RNA is filed under the name uncultured bacterium. RNAcentral describes it as "partial 16S ribosomal RNA". It matches the Rfam family "Bacterial small subunit ribosomal RNA", at positions 30 to 507 of the family's 1533-position model. The record is from RNAcentral.